This 393-nucleotide ribosomal RNA is filed under the name uncultured bacterium. Its description in RNAcentral is "partial 16S ribosomal RNA". It matches the Rfam family "Bacterial small subunit ribosomal RNA", at positions 523 to 918 of the family's 1533-position model. The record is from RNAcentral.
AUACGGAGGAUCCGAGCGUUAUCCGGAUUUAUUGGGUUUCAAGGGUGCGCAGGCGGGAGAUUAAGUCGGCGGUGAAAUUUUGCAGCUCAACUUUAAAAGUGCCUUCGAAACUGGGUUCCUUGAGUGUAGAUGAAGUAGGCGGAAUUUGUGGUGUAGCGGGGAAAUGCAUAGAUAUCACGAUGAACUCCGAUUGCGCAGGCAGCUUACUUAACUACUUCUGACGCUCAGGCCCGAAGGCGUGGGGAUCAAACAGGAUUAGAUACCCUGGUAGUCCACGCAGUAAACGAUGAUUACUAGCUGUUUGCGAUACAAUGUAAGCGGCUGAGCGAAAGCGUUAAGUAAUCCACCUGGGGAGUACGUUCGCAAGAAUGAAACUCAAAUAAAUUGGCGGGG